Molecule: long non-coding RNA, 497 nt
Organism: Dermochelys coriacea (leatherback sea turtle)
Lineage: Eukaryota; Metazoa; Chordata; Testudines; Dermochelyidae
Exons: 3
Source: RefSeq, a predicted model, not a curated record
UUCUUGAUGAUGAUUUUGAUGAGGGGUGGGAUAAUCCACUGUAUGUUUCAGCAAAUGAAAAGACAUCUACACCACUAUCCCAACCUAUCAGGGAAGGUCAAUCUGCAAAAUCAUUAUUGAAGUCAUUUUCGACAGUCAAGGAAACUAGCCCUAUGUCUAAUCUUGUUGUUUCAAAACCAAACAUCUUGGUGUCAGCCAAGAACUGGUCAGACCCAUCGCUGAAAAAAUCACCAUCCGAAAAUCCAGCACUAGCACGCUUCAGAGGCUUUACGUUUUCCCAUUCUAAAGAUAUGGUGAAGAUAUUUCACAAAAAAUUGGUCUGCACCAUUUUCGAACAAAUCAGCUGGAGGCCAUCAAUGCUUCUCUGUUGGGUGAAGAUUGUUUUAUCUUAAUGCCCACUGGUGGUGGUAAAAGUCUGUGCUACCAGCUACCAGCCUGUUUAUCCCCUGGCGUCACUAUUGUAAUUUCUCCACUGAGGUCAUUGAUAUUAGAUCAAG